AACAAGUACCGUGAGGGAAAGAUGCAAAGGAUUUUGAAAAGAAAGUUAAAUAGUACCUGAAAUUGCUGAAAAGGAACCGAUGGGAAGCAGUGUCGGUGGCGAGUACUUGUAUU
This 113-nucleotide ribosomal RNA is filed under the name Rhodomonas abbreviata. Its description in RNAcentral is "partial Eukaryotic large subunit ribosomal RNA". It matches the Rfam family "Eukaryotic large subunit ribosomal RNA", at positions 343 to 455 of the family's 3401-position model. Lineage: Eukaryota; Cryptophyceae; Pyrenomonadales; Pyrenomonadaceae. The record is from RNAcentral.